This 602-nucleotide ribosomal RNA is filed under the name Salmonella enterica subsp. enterica serovar Muenchen. RNAcentral's name for it is "partial 23S ribosomal RNA". It matches the Rfam family "Bacterial large subunit ribosomal RNA", at positions 1 to 631 of the family's 2925-position model. RNAcentral also lists the same sequence under 1 other name. Lineage: Bacteria; Pseudomonadati; Pseudomonadota; Gammaproteobacteria; Enterobacterales; Enterobacteriaceae. The record is from RNAcentral.
GGGUUGUGAGGUUAAGCGACUAAGCGUACACGGUGGAUGCCCUGGCAGUCAGAGGCGAUGAAGGACGUGCUAAUCUGCGAUAAGCGCCGGUAAGGUGAUAUGAACCGUUAUAACCGGCGAUUUCCGAAUGGGGAAACCCAGUGUGACUCGUCACACUAUCAUUAACUGAAUCCAUAGGUUAAUGAGGCGAACCGGGGGAACUGAAACAUCUAAGUACCCCGAGGAAAAGAAAUCAACCGAGAUUCCCCCAGUAGCGGCGAGCGAACGGGGAGGAGCCCAGAGCCUGAAUCAGCAUGUGUGUUAGUGGAAGCGUCUGGAAAGGCGCGCGAUACAGGGUGACAGCCCCGUACACAAAAGCGCAUGUGCUGUGAGCUCGAUGAGUAGGGCGGGACACGUGGUAUCCUGUCUGAAUAUGGGGGGACCAUCCUCCAAGGCUAAAUACUCCUGACUGACCGAUAGUGAACCAGUACCGUGAGGGAAAGGCGAAAAGAACCCCGGCGAGGGGAGUGAAAAAGAACCUGAAACCGUGUACGUACAAGCAGUGGGAGCACAGGUUUACCUGUGUGACUGCGUACCUUUUGUAUAAUGGGUCAGCGACUUAU